GCUGAAUAUUGAAGUCUUCCAGGCAGAGGAGGUUGCUAGUACUGCACAAUAUCUCAGAAGUGUGGACCCACUUGUGUGAGCUCUUCUUCAUCCUGCUGAGGUAGUUCAGUCUCUUCCCUUCAGGCUGCUCUUCACUCCUUUUUGAUGUGAGACGGGACAAAGUACAAUGAUGGCAGGCAGGAACAUCACAUCAGAGCCCAGCAAUAGAAGCCUCCUCCCAAGAUCAGUUUGGAUCAGCUCUGAAACUGGUGCCUGACAAUCCCAAACAAAGGUUGCUGGAGAACCUUAUAUCUUCAACAGACACUGUAACCACUGUACAGCAAAAAUGUGGUGGAGUUGGUGGGAUGAAGUCUACCCAGCUUUCUCCUUUGUUGAAGGCUAGUGUUUUGCCCAAUGAAUACACUGAAGCGGUACCAGCAUAAUGCUUUUUAAUUUUAUUUUUUAAAACAUC
This 451-nucleotide long non-coding RNA is filed under the name Aquila chrysaetos chrysaetos. Its description in RNAcentral is "lncRNA (ENSACCG00020005963.1)". The record is from RNAcentral. Lineage: Eukaryota; Metazoa; Chordata; Aves; Accipitriformes; Accipitridae.